Molecule: unclassified non-coding RNA, 381 nt
Filed under: uncultured Alphaproteobacteria bacterium
Lineage: Bacteria; Pseudomonadati; Pseudomonadota; Alphaproteobacteria
Description: contains 16S-23S intergenic spacer region
Source: RNAcentral
UCCGGUUUGACACCGGCAGUCCCGCUAGAGUGCGCACCCCGAAGGGUACUAGCAACUAAGGGCGAGGGUUGCGCUCGUUGCGGGACUUAACCCAACAUCUCACAACACGAGCUGACGACAGCCAUGCAGCACCUGUGUGCAGGUCCCCGAAGGGAAGGAGCCCGUCUCCGGACACCGUCCUGCCAUGUCAAGGGCUGGUAAGGUUCUUCGCGUUGCUUCGAAUUGAACCACAUGCUCCACCGCUUGUGCGGGCCCCCGUCAAUUCCUUUGAGUUUUAAUCUUGCGACCGUACUCCCCAGGCGGAAUGCUUAAUGCGUUAGCUGCGCCACCAACGGGCAAGCCCGCCGACGGCUGGCAUUCAUCGUUUACGGCGUGGACUAC